Molecule: long non-coding RNA, 222 nt
Filed under: Phoenix dactylifera (date palm)
Lineage: Eukaryota; Viridiplantae; Streptophyta; Magnoliopsida; Arecales; Arecaceae
Description: long non-coding RNA (PDAC_LNC021763)
Source: RNAcentral
UUGCUAUUGUCUUAUUUUUUGCACAUCUAUCCAUUAAGAAUAUUUUAGUUAUUUUAAUUUAAAAUCGUUGAUUUUUUUAAUUGCGUUAGAUAACGUAGCAAUAUAUGCAAAAAGAAGAAUAAAAACAAGGGUAGAAUUGUAAAAUAAGUGUUUUACGGAGAUAUAAAAAUUCGAUAUUUAGAAGAAUAUUUAUUUCUUUUUUUGUUCUUUGCUCGAGGCAUG